GACGAACGCUGGCGGCGUGCUUAAUGAAUGCGAGUCGAGCGAGAACCAGUUGCGUGCUUGCACAAGACUGGGGAGAGCGGCAAACGGGUGAGUAACACGUGGGUAACCUGCCCUGCAGACGGGCACAACAGCUGGAAACGGCUGCUAAUUCCCGAUGGUCUGCAGCGCCUCAAGGCGCUGCAGUAAAGGUUAAUUCCGCUGCAGGAUGGGCCCGCGGGCCAUUAGCUUGUUGGUAGGGUAACGGCCUACCAAGGCGACGAUGGCUAGCCGGUCUGAGAGGAUGGUCGGCCACACUGGGACUGAGACAUGGUCCAGACUCCUCCGGGAGUUAGCAUCAGGGAAUCUUGCGCAAUGGGCGAAAGCCUGACGCAGCGACGCCGCGUGAGGGAUGAAGGUCUGCGGAUCGUAAACCUCUGUAAGCAGGGACGAAUGCCCGGUUCUGCCGGGAGUGACGGUACCUGCAGAGUAAGCUCCGGCUAA
RNAcentral lists this ribosomal RNA (480 nucleotides) under uncultured bacterium. Its description in RNAcentral is "bacterial SSU rRNA". It matches the Rfam family "Bacterial small subunit ribosomal RNA", at positions 28 to 500 of the family's 1533-position model. The record is from RNAcentral.